CGUAUACAAUCUACCUUUUACAGGGGGAUAGCCUUUAGAAAUGAAGAUUAAUACCCCAUAGUAUAUAUUAAUGGCAUCGUUAAUAUAUUAAAGUUUCGGCGGUAAAAGAUGAGUAUGCGUUCUAUUAGCUAGAUGGUGUGGUAACGGCACACCAUGGCAACGAUAGAUAGGGGCCCUGAGAGGGGGAUCCCCCACACUGGUACUGAGACACGGAACAGACUCCCAUGGGCGCAAGCCUGAUCCAGCCAUGCCGCGUGCAGGAAGACUGCCCUAUGGGUUGUAAACUGCUUUUAUACAGGAAGAAACCGCUCUACGUGUAGAGCUCUGACGGUACUGUAAGAAUAAGGAUCGGCUAACUCCGUGCCAGCAGCCGCGGUAAUACGGAGGAUCCAAGCGUUAUCCGGAAUCAUUGGGUUUAAAGGGUCCGUAGGUGGAUAAUUAAGUCAGAGGUGAAAGUCUGCAGCUCAACUGUAGAAUUGCCUUUGAUACUGGUUAUCUUGAGUUAUUAUGAAGUAGUUAGAAUAUGUAGUGUAGCGGUGAAAUGCAUAGAUAUUACAUAGAAUACCAAUUGCGAAGGCAGAUUACUAAUAAUAUACUGACACUGAUGGACGAAAGCGUGGGGAGCGAACAGGAUUAGAUACCCUGGUAGUCCACGCCGUAAACGAUGGUUACUAGCUGUUCGGACUUCGGUCUGAGUGGCUAAGCGAAAGUGAUAAGUAACCCACCUGGGGAGUACGUUCGCAAGAAUGAAAC
This 753-nucleotide ribosomal RNA is filed under the name Pseudomonadales bacterium. Its description in RNAcentral is "bacterial SSU rRNA". It matches the Rfam family "Bacterial small subunit ribosomal RNA", at positions 116 to 900 of the family's 1533-position model. The record is from RNAcentral. Lineage: Bacteria; Pseudomonadati; Pseudomonadota; Gammaproteobacteria; Pseudomonadales.